UCAAAACGACUCUCGGCAACGGAUAUCUCGGCUCUCGCAUCGAUGAAGAACGCAGCGAAAUGCGAUACUUGGUGUGAAUUGCAGGAUCCCGCGAACCAUCGAGUCUUUGAACGCAAGUUGCGCCCAAAGCCUUUUGGCCGAGGGCACGUCUGCCUGGGUGUC
This 162-nucleotide ribosomal RNA is filed under the name Triadica cochinchinensis. RNAcentral's name for it is "5.8S ribosomal RNA". It matches the Rfam family "5.8S ribosomal RNA". From Rfam's summary of the family: 5.8S ribosomal RNA (5.8S rRNA) is a component of the large subunit of the eukaryotic ribosome. Lineage: Eukaryota; Viridiplantae; Streptophyta; Magnoliopsida; Malpighiales; Euphorbiaceae. The record is from RNAcentral.